RNAcentral lists this unclassified non-coding RNA (301 nucleotides) under Hevea brasiliensis (rubber tree). The record is from RNAcentral. Lineage: Eukaryota; Viridiplantae; Streptophyta; Magnoliopsida; Malpighiales; Euphorbiaceae.
GAGAAAGUUAUUUGCCACUUCUACCAUAGGGAGUUCUAUCGGUGCAAAAUAAUGGAUAAGCAUUGGAAGGCUCUUGCACAAAGUCAUCUUGAUACCAAGUUCAUCAAGCUGGACGCAGAGAAUGCACCNUUCUUUGUUACCAAGCUUGGAGUCAAAACUUUACCUUGUGUCAUACUGUUCAGGAAAGGGGUUGCAAUUGAUAGGCUGAUUGGAUUUCAAGAUUUGGGAGGAAAAGAUGAUUUCACCACAAAAUCACUUGAGAUUCUUCUGAUGAAGAAAGGUAUAAUUAGUGAGAAGAAAG